UGAUAACACAGAGGUGAAGUCUAGAGC
RNAcentral lists this non-coding RNA (27 nucleotides) under Mus musculus (house mouse). Lineage: Eukaryota; Metazoa; Chordata; Mammalia; Rodentia; Muridae. The record is from RNAcentral.